Molecule: long non-coding RNA, 456 nt
Organism: Gallus gallus (chicken)
Lineage: Eukaryota; Metazoa; Chordata; Aves; Galliformes; Phasianidae
Exons: 3
Source: RefSeq, a predicted model, not a curated record
GAAGGCCAGGCAUGUGAGAGAAGCACAGGCUGAGGGAACUGGGCCCUGAGGUAAAGCCCAGGUUAUGAACUCGUAAAGCAUGUCCACCUACUGCAAGCUGGUUCCAAGCAGGUAAUGAGACGAGAUGGUGCUCCCUCUCCUGACACACAGCCACAGCACGUCUGAACAACUGAAGAGGGGAAGAUGUGAGGCUGGCUGCAAAUGCAGCUGAUGCUGCUGAAAAUGAGGCACAUGAUGCAGGGCCGCGCAAGUGGGGCUUCAUGUGAUCGGCGAUGUGCAGGACAGCAAAGCAGGCCACCAACUGAAACAGCGCUAAUCAAGCAGAGCAGGGAGAAACCUGUCACGAAAACAACAUCACGUGUUCCUUGAUAAUGCUUCAGUGGAAACCUCUUGUAGCAUAUUCUGCACUGCUUUGGCACCCACAAGAAAUUAAAGUAUAAACGUCCUGAGAAUUUA